RNAcentral lists this transfer RNA (67 nucleotides) under Erotylidae sp. BMNH 1274391. RNAcentral's name for it is "tRNA-Ile". The record is from RNAcentral. Lineage: Eukaryota; Metazoa; Arthropoda; Insecta; Coleoptera; Erotylidae.
AGUGAGAUGCCCGAAAAUUUAAGGACUACUUUGAUAGAGUAGAAUAUGUAAGUAAUUACUCUCACUA